This 740-nucleotide ribosomal RNA is filed under the name Pseudomonas migulae. RNAcentral describes it as "bacterial SSU rRNA". It matches the Rfam family "Bacterial small subunit ribosomal RNA", at positions 115 to 849 of the family's 1533-position model. The record is from RNAcentral. Lineage: Bacteria; Pseudomonadati; Pseudomonadota; Gammaproteobacteria; Pseudomonadales; Pseudomonadaceae.
GCCCAGGAAUCUGCCCGGUAGUGGGGGAUAACGUCCGGAAACGGACGCUAAUACCGCAUACGUCCUACGGGAGAAAGUGGGGGAUCUUCGGACCUCACGCUAUCAGAUGAGCCUAGGUCGGAUUAGCUAGUUGGUGAGGUAAUGGCUCACCAAGGCGACGAUCCGUAACUGGUCUGAGAGGAUGAUCAGUCACACUGGAACUGAGACACGGUCCAGACUCCUACGGGAGGCAGCAGUGGGGAAUAUUGGACAAUGGGCGAAAGCCUGAUCCAGCCAUGCCGCGUGUGUGAAGAAGGUCUUCGGAUUGUAAAGCACUUUAAGUUGGGAGGAAGGGCAGUAAAUUAAUACUUUGCUGUUUUGACGUUACCGACAGAAUAAGCACCGGCUAACUCUGUGCCAGCAGCCGCGGUAAUACAGAGGGUGCAAGCGUUAAUCGGAAUUACUGGGCGUAAAAGCGCGCGUAGGUGGUUUGUUAAGUUGAAUGUGAAAUCCCCGGGCUCAACCUGGGAACUGCAUCCAAAACUGGCAAGCUAGAGUAUGGAAGAGGGUGGUGAAAUUUCCUGUGUAGCGGUGAAAUGCGUAGAUAUAGGAAGGAACACCAGUGGCGAAGGCGACCACCUGGACUGAUACUGACACUGAGGUGCGAAAGCGUGGGGAGCAAACAGGGAUUAGAUACCCUGGUAGUCCACGCCGUAAACGAUGUCAACUAGCCGUUGGGAGCCUUGAGCUCUUAAUGGCGC